Molecule: long non-coding RNA, 2074 nt
Organism: Cottoperca gobio
Lineage: Eukaryota; Metazoa; Chordata; Actinopteri; Perciformes; Bovichtidae
Exons: 3
Source: RefSeq, a predicted model, not a curated record
UUCCUCUUCCCCAACACACUAUCAAAACAAUCACUACACAUUUCUGAGGUGAUCCUUUUCCUCCCCGAGAGGCUCGCGGAGACACGGCGUGUUAUUUAUUUAUAUCGCUGUGUGAGCCUGACAGUCAGCCGCGGCGGACAAACUGCGUCUUAACGCGGAGAGGUCGGGCUUGUUUGGCUGGAGAAAACGCACCAAAACACACGCGGAAAGACUCCGGUGCUGUCACCCCCCUUCUUUUAUUUCUUGUCAGCUUUUUCUUGCGAUUUAUUUCGUGCUGUCAAACCAGGAACCCGGGACUGAGCCCCUGCUCCGAGGAUGAACUAGAAUUGCGAUCGCGGCUGUGAGGUUGUUUUACUGGAUAUAUUUCGCUGUGGAGGAAAAGAGAUCCGGGAGCGGAGCGGUGCGCAAAAAGCCGAGGUCCGUGCGAUUUUGCUAAAAUGCAUCAUCAACAGCGGAUGGCAGCUUUGGGAACAGACAAGGAACUGAGUGACUUACUAGAUUUCAGCGCGAUGCGAAACAGCGAUUUGAAAAUGUUCCCAACAUCCAUGGUAGUAUAUCUCAUUUUAAGUCCUUUUUUCAUUCAUGUGUCGACUGCUUUUCUGCCCAUGAUUAUGAUUUAGAAAAUGUUUCUAUUUGUCUGAGUGAGUUUCUGGGAUGCUCCAUAUGCGCUCUGCAUCGUGUUGUACAGAAUAUUUCUGAUGCAAAAGGCUCGAUGUGGAAUCAUGAACCUGCAUGACAGUCAGAGAGACAGACAGAUAGGCAGGUAGCCGAAAAGAGAGGAAUGUGUCACAAUUUCUCUCCGCACUCUAAAUGUUCCAGCAGCAGGCUGUUCAAUGCUCAAACUAAAGACUGUUUAAAAAGUUUGUGUCAAAAAGAAAAAGAAAAAAAAGCAAAGCACGGCCUGUGUUGAGAACUUGACCGACAGGAAACCGUGUCCCCGCUCUCGGCCAUGUUUUCUGUGCGCCUCUCCUCCUCUGGGAGCAACUUUGGCCUGAAGAGGAGGAAAAAAAUAUCUGAAACAUCCCAAAAAAAAUAAAAAUAACCCCGGACUGACAUUUAUAUUGUUAUGAAGCUUAGACAGUCAGCAUGAACAUAAAGAUAUCAGAUCAUAUCAACACUACAGAAAUUAUGCUGAAUGAGAUGCACAUGUAUGAAAGAAAAUCACCAAAUAUUCCUGCAAGAUUUAAAAUUCAUAAUGCAAUAAAGAAAUAAGAUCACAGCUGAGGCCUGCUUACACAAUGCAAGUGACUGGAGUGCUUUAUGAAUAUCAUGGCAGGCGCUAUUAACACAUAGUGUCAGAAGAUCUCAGUAUUAAAAGAAUGAGAUGAGUGAUGCUGCACAACAUCGCAAAAUAUAAGAAGUAAACCUUUUAAACUAUAUUGGAAUAUUAAUGCAUUCAACAGAUUGCAUACGAUCACAGCUGAGGCCUUCAUAAAGUAAACACUGGACAGUAACCGACCAUUUAGCAGCAUUAUAGAAAUAAAGAUAUCAAUAGAGAGUUACAUUUAUAAGUUAUUAAAAGAGCAACUAACCUCCACAUUAACCCCCUAAAGCUUCACUAUAGUAAUAAACACUACACUACUGAUAGAGAUGAGAAUAUUUCAGGAUUGUUCUUGUGAUAUUUUUUAACAAAGGACAUACAAUAAGAACACUGUUCAGCCAAAAUUGAGAGCCACAGACUUAUAAUAUUCCUCUAUAGCUAUAAUUGAAUUACAAUAUGUGCUCUAUUGGCUGUGUUGGCCUGUUUUAUAUCAUACAGACAUAAGGAACCUAUAGAAGUAUUAAAUGUAUAUGAGAACCAUCAUUAGUGGUACACACAAUCUCUCCAGUCAGUAUGACAACAUUAUAGGAAUUUUGAAAUGUCAUUCAUUAAAAAUAAAAUAAAAUAUGACAAUAAUAUUCAUGAUUGAGAACCACAGACACAUAUCAAGUCUCUAUAAGAAUAUUGCAAUGCUAUAAAUAUAUUUUUUAAACAAUACAUGCAGUAAGCCUCCUGUUAAAUACUGUGAAAUGCUCUUUUUUAAUAUUAUAGGUGGCAAAAAUACCAUUAAAUCACCAUAAAUCUGCUCAUUAA